AUAGCUCAAGCCCUUAAUCGGCAGCGGUUGACCGUUGUCGAGUUGUAGCUUGAAGGUUGGCACUUUGGCAGCGACACCGACAUAAGCCUUUUGAAUAGGGCGCCAGAGAGGGUGCAAGCCCCGUCUUUUGUCGGAGGUUAUCUGUCAUUGCAUGUGUCUUCCAGCGAGUCGGGUUGUUUGGGAAUGCAGCCCUAAUGGGAGGUAAAUUUCUUCCAAAGCUAAAUAUCAGCCAGAGACCGAUAGCGAA
Molecule: ribosomal RNA, 247 nt
Filed under: Mucoromycotina sp.
Lineage: Eukaryota; Fungi; Mucoromycota
Description: partial large subunit ribosomal RNA
Rfam family: Eukaryotic large subunit ribosomal RNA
Source: RNAcentral